RNAcentral lists this ribosomal RNA (253 nucleotides) under uncultured bacterium. RNAcentral's name for it is "partial 16S ribosomal RNA". It matches the Rfam family "Bacterial small subunit ribosomal RNA", at positions 524 to 776 of the family's 1533-position model. The record is from RNAcentral.
UACGUAGGAGGCGAGCGUUGUCCGGAAUCACUGGGCGUAAAGCGCGUGUAGGCGGGAAGGCAAGUCUGCUGUGAAAGCGCCUGGCUUAACCGGGCGAGGUCGGCGGAAACUGCUUACCUGGAGGACGGUAGAGGGGGGUGGAAUUCCCGGUGUAGUGGUGAAAUGCGCAGAUAUCAGGAAGAACACCCGUGGCGAAAGCGGCUCUCUGGAACGGUACUGACGCUGAGACGCGAAAGCGUGGGGAGCGAACAGG